CACACAAUGAUCGUGAAGAGAGAGACUGUUUCCAAAAGACACACUUAGACAAACGAAAUAACGCGGAGAAUAGAGGCGCCGAGAAGAGUAGACAACAUUUGCGAAAGACGGUCCAACAAGGCGUGUGUUGCUGAUGUGAAAAAUAGGCGCGCAAUGGAUUCGUAGAGACAGAGAGAGAGGCCCGUCCCGAUCCGCCUGCCUGCGGGCACACAGAAUCAUUGUUGCUGAUGCUGCUGUUGUUGGGGCUGCUGCGCAAAGUGAUUCUUCGCGACGCGGGUGGGCGCC
This is a non-coding RNA of Caenorhabditis elegans, 285 nucleotides long. The record is from Ensembl. NCBI's taxonomy places the organism in Eukaryota, Metazoa, Nematoda, Chromadorea, Rhabditida, Rhabditidae.